GUGGAUGGAUUUAAUUUAGAAAAAUGGCAAUAUUGGAUGUGAUAUAAGCUGUACAUGAGCAAGGGACGAAUUGUGAAGCAUCAGGUUCAGGGCUACGGAAUCAUCGGGAUCGAGCGGGAAGUUUGGAGAACAAGGAACUAUCGGGUUUUGUUACUCGAUUUCAUUAGUUCUCUAUUUUUUUCUCUUAUUUAGUAUCGAUGAAUUCUUGUUUGAAACUUUGUUUAUUUGUUUUUAAGACCAUGAUGACCGGCUAAACUUUUAAGCCACCUAGACUUAGUUGAAUGGAUUGAUUAAUGUUUUUACCGUUUUCGUUAUUUGCAUGAUUGUUAUGGGUGAUUGUGUUUAGUAAGCGGUUUGAUUUAAUGGUUUGAUGUGUAUGCGUGCUUUGAUUCGGUUUAUUGUUAUUAUUUGCUUCAUAUGAUUCUUAGUGACGGUCUAUAUCACAACAUAGAGUCAUAUUAGGGUUUAGGAUUUCGGUGAGUGUCUAUAUCACGUAAGAAAACCUUAACUCUUUAGGGAGAAUCGGCCGGUAAUCUCUAGAAGUAAAUGGUAAUAAUUUGCUAAGUCUUAGUGUUCUACUAGUCCUAAUACCUGGGAAGUGAGGGGCUAUUGGUAGGUCUUAUCCGGCGAAUUGCUUUAGAUAGUCCUUGGGAAAGGUCAUGUCUUGGUUUACCAGUCGGUUUUAUUAGUCUAUCAAGUCAAAUUAAUUAAUCCAAACUACCCUAGAUCUAUGAUUGGGAAAGAGUAGGUCAACAUUAGUGUACUUACACAAUAAUUAGACAACUGGGAAGGCGUCUAAUAACCGGUAGGAUUAACGACCUAGGUAGUUCCACAGGUUUCUCCUUGAGAAGGGUCGAGGGGCUUAGUUGGUUCUUAAUAGGUUUAGUAUUAUAAGAUCUCGGUUCCAUAACUCACGCAUUUAACUUAAUCGGUAAUCUCUUAAAAACGAUCCAGGAUUCUUGUCUAGGUGGUCUCGUCUCUCAUAUAAGAAUCGUCUUUGUUUUCCUUCGUAUUUAGUCUAGUUUUAGUUAAUUAAUUAGUUUAAAUAGAUUUCCUUAGUUUUUCAGUAACCCCCCCCCCCCAACCAAUUAAACAGUUAGAGUCUGUGUCAGUCCAGGUCUAGAUAGAGUCUAAUUAGCGUAAUUAGAGAGUCUCGUGGGUUCGAUACUCGGACUUACUGUAGCUAUACUGCAUUGAUCGGUACACUUGCCGGUUGCGUGGUUUAGUUUUAGAUCGAGUCUAAGUUUAUAAAUUUAAAGCUUAGAGUGUCUAGAUUAGGUUAAUUUAGUACUUUUUAUUUAACCACUUUUAGCACAUCAAGUUUUUGGCGCCGUUGCCGGGGACUCUUGGCGAUUGCGUUUAUUAGCUUUGACUGGACUUAAUUGACAUUAUACGUGCUACUUGUUUUUUGUAUAUUGAGUCGUAGGUGCCUAAUUGUCUGUGUCUUUUAUUUUUCUUGAGUCUUGUGAAUAUGUGUGAAAUUUGUGAAGGACCUCAUUUUACUGUUAAGUGCCCACAAUAUGAGGGGUCCUCUGCACAUUAUUAUGCUAACCCCUAUGUGCAGCCGCAGUCAUAUUUUUCAUAUGGGUAUCCUUCGUACCAGUAUGAGGAACCGUAUCACCAGCCCCAACAACAAAAUUCUAAAGUCUAUGAGCAGGAACAACUGGAUAGGAUAAUGGGGAUGUUAGUUCAACUAGUAGCUACGAAUGAGACUACUCAGAAAAUGAUUCAAGAACAUGAAGUCCUGCUUCAAAAUCAGCAGUCUAUACUCUCAGACAUUCGAUGUUCAGUAUAAGAAAUGUCUAGGAAAUUAGAAGAAGUAGAAGAAACUAAGAAUAAGGGCAUCAUUGAUUUUGGUUGUGAAGAAGAGGAGAUUAUGAUGCAAAUGGCUAAUUGCAGGAUAUUGAGAGAGAGUGUGGAAGAAGUAGAUGAGUGGCAAGUCUACCAGGAAUCAUUAGUUAAGGAAGUAGAUGUUGAAGAGGAAUUAGAUUUAGGAGAUUCCUUAGGUAGUCUAUUUGAUGAUGAGGUAGAAGUUGAGGUAGAGAAAAAAGUGUUAAUUUGGGAAGAUGAGUUUUUAGGGAGUUAGAAGGUUUAUCAGAAUCUGAACAAGUAGGGGAAUUUGAUCCAUUAGGUGAUUUAGCAAAUUUGGAAGCCCUACUAGAAGGUAAACCCGAGAAAAUAAGUGAACCCACACCGCACGUAGAAAUUAAGUGUGGGGAUCUUCCCAAGGAAGUAGAGAGAAUGGUGGAAGAUGAAGAACAUCAUAGCUGGCCCGUGGUAGAGGUAACUUAAGAUUUAAGGCCACGGUAGAGGGCAAGAAAGAAAGAACCUGGAAACCGGAGAUGGUUUUGGGUCGGAAGAUGGGCGAAACAGAAAAUGGAGCAAUUAAAGUGCAAGCACGACUGCUAUUAUCGUUACAUGCCACGCAUCCGGUCCAUUCCAGGUUUGGAUUGUACCACCCGUACUCAAUCUCCAUUCGGGUGAUUUCGGAGCUGCCAUAUUGAUACAACCCAAGCAGACUAGGCAACGAUCGCGAAGGAAAUGCUAUACGAUCGUUCGUUGGAUUAAAGACUCAUACAGCUGGCACUGACUUUUGUCCUAACCAGCUAAGUCUUUUCCAAUUCUCUCUGUUAUUUAUUUCUUAUUUAUUUUUAGUUUCCGUCUCUGCAUUGGGGACAAUGCAAAUCUCAAGUGUGGGGAUGGGUAACUGCUUUUUAGGUUAGUUUGAGUCAUAAAAAUUUAAAAAACAAAAAAAAAAUUGAAAAAAUCCAAAAAAAAAAUUGAAAGAAUCAGAAAAUGUCUUUCGAAUAAAAAGAAGUUUGCAAUUAAAACGGAAAAUGAUAGAAAAGAUGAAUUUUUAUUUGGGUUCAAAUAAUAAUAAUAUAAGAUUAAAUAAGUCGAGCUUGUGUCUAGUUUGGGAUAUGUGAAUAGGCCCGGGUUUGGUUUUAGGUCCCUUUGAUUUAAUAUACCUUAAUUGUCGGUCUACUAGUGGGUUUUCGCCUGGGAGAUAUGGGAAAUCAAAACUGCCAAUAAGAGUAUAAGGGACACCGUUACAAGUUAAAAACGUUAGAGUUUGUGAUCGUGCGAAAAAAAAAUGAUGAGCUAGAAACUAAAUGAAAGUAGCGCAUUCCUAUGUAGUCUGGGUUGGGGACAGUAACUCUACAGCCGGAUUACCGCUAGGGUGUGUGAAAUCGAUUGUGCAAAGAAAAGAAAAUGUACCGAAGCUUAAGUAAUCCGAGUUGGGGAUAGCGACUCUACAGCCGGAUUGCCUCUUAGUUAGGGAAAGCAACGUCUAGGCUCAUUGAAAAAAAAAAGAAGGGAAAAAAAAAGAAAAGCGGAAAAAAUGGAAAAAGAAAAAAUUUUUGAUUGUAAACUCUAUUGGUUUUGAUAUAAGACGGUUGGGAAUUGGUCCAAUGAUCGUUCCUUUAGUCCUCUAAGCUUGAGGCAGGAUUAGGUGGACCGUAAAUUCUAGCGUGAGACCCUAGGUAGACUGACCGCAAUUAAAUUAAAUUCACAUGAUAAGGGCUUGAGACCGGAUUUUGGUUUAAAGGGACAAGUAUAUUCACAAUCGCGGCUAAUGCAAGUUUUGGUUUUAAUAAAACAUAAAUAUACUUUUGACCCGAGUGAUUAUUUAUCUCUGAUUUCGUUGCGUAAUUCUUUUUCGAGGACGAAAAAAGGUUAAGUGUAGGGAUAUUUGAUAUGGGGUAAAAUACACAUAUUUGUCUCGUGUAAAUUGUAUAAUUUUUGUAUAGUUUUAAUUUGUUUUUAUUUAGUUUCUAGUAGUAUAUUAUAUUCUUUUGUGUUUUGGCAGAUCCUGGUGUAAAUGGAGCAAAAACGAGUAAUAUGGAAAUGACCAGACAGUUGGGCAGAGUGAUGUCAGUGACUAAAUUGAAAUUGCCGCUAUUUUCUGUGAUUGGGCCGAGCUUGUUUAUCUCUAUAUUAUUAAAGUUGAAGGGCCAAAUUACAAUUAAAGGAAAGUUGGUUUAAAAAUAAGUCAGGACAUAAGUGUACAUGAGCUGGAAGUUCUAAUUAAUUCUUCUCUACAAAAGACAAUAAAUGUACAUUCUUUGGCUUCCUGUUGUUGACCGAUUUUAGGAUGGCCAAUAUUGGAUUAUUAUAAAAGAAAGAGGAAAUUUGUGUGGAUGGAUUUAAUUUAGAAAUAUGGCAAUAUUGGAUGUGAAAUAAGCUGUUGGAGGUUUUGAGUAGUGGGCCGCCCAAAAAUCAGUAAUUCUUGUGAUCGUAAAUGGGCCAUUUAUCAAGAUGUUUUGCGAUUACCAUAGUCAAUAUCAACAUCAGAGGCGACCAUAUAUUUUUAAUAUAUAGAUACGGCGGUUUUAGAGGGCGGAACAUUAGAGGACUGCCAUUACAACAUCAGAAUAUCAGACGCAAGGCAGGAGCAAGGGACGAAUUGUGAAGCAUCAGGUUCAAGGCUACGGAAUCAUCGGGAUCGAGCGGGAAGUUUGGAGAACAAGGAACUAUCGGGUUUUGUUACUCGAUUUCUUUAGUUCUCUAUUUUUUUUUUCUCUUAUUUAGUAUCGAUGAAUUCUUGUUUGAAACUUUGUUUAUUUGUUUUUAAGAGCUUGAUGAUCGGCUAAACUUUUAUGCCACCUAGACUUAGUUGAAUGGAUUGAUUAAUGUUUUUACCGUU
Helianthus annuus (common sunflower) is the source of this 4648-nucleotide long non-coding RNA. RefSeq lists it as uncharacterized. The transcript has 2 exons. Lineage: Eukaryota; Viridiplantae; Streptophyta; Magnoliopsida; Asterales; Asteraceae. The record is from RefSeq and is a predicted model, not a curated record.